UGGGGAAUAUUGGACAAUGGGCGCAAGCCUGAUCCAGCCAUGCCGCGUGAGUGAUGAAGGCCUUAGGGUUGUAAAGCUCUUUCGGCGGGGAAGCAGUACCCGCAGAAGAAGCCCCGGCUAACUUCGUGCCAGCAGCCGCGGUAAUACGAAGGGGGCUAGCGUUGUUCGGAAUCACUGGGCGUAAAGCGCACGUAGGCGGACUUUUAAGUCAGGGGUGAAAUCCCAGGGCUCAACCCUGGAACUGCCCUUGAUACUGAAAGUCUCGAGUCCGGGAGAGGUGAGUGGAACUCCGAGUGUAGAGGUGAAAUUCGUAGAUAUUCGGAAGAACACCAGUGGCGAAGGCGGCUCACUGGCCCGGUACUGACGCUGAGGUGCGAAAGCGUGGGGAGCAAACAGGAUUAGAUACCCGGGUAGU
This 415-nucleotide ribosomal RNA is filed under the name uncultured bacterium. RNAcentral's name for it is "bacterial SSU rRNA". It matches the Rfam family "Bacterial small subunit ribosomal RNA", at positions 355 to 794 of the family's 1533-position model. The record is from RNAcentral.